GAAAUAGCUCAGGGGUAGAGUGCAUGCUUAGGAUGCAAGAGGUCAUGGGUUCAAUCCCCACUACCUUCA
RNAcentral lists this transfer RNA (69 nucleotides) under Camelus bactrianus (Bactrian camel). It matches the Rfam family "tRNA". From Rfam's summary of the family: Transfer RNA (tRNA) molecules are approximately 80 nucleotides in length. Their secondary structure includes four short double-helical elements and three loops (D, anti-codon, and T loops). RNAcentral also lists the same sequence under 2 other names. The record is from Rfam by way of RNAcentral. Lineage: Eukaryota; Metazoa; Chordata; Mammalia; Artiodactyla; Camelidae.